ACUGAUUUCCCUUGCCCUCUAGGAAUAUUGGACUUUAUUGAAGGGAAAGACUGCCCUCCCUGCUCCCUGUUCUUCUGCCUGGCGGAGAAGUGGCCCGACCCAGACAACAAGCCUUGGGAGAAGAAACUUAUCACUGUGGAAGUGGUUCUGACUUCACUGGAGUUGCUGAAGAAUAUGGCUGUUGUAGGCGGCGCCUCCUCCCUGCAGUCUGUGGAGCUGCAGAUGUCACUUGAGGAGAUGAUGGAGACGUACUGACGCACUUUGCUGUGCCUGAAGAGAUUCAUUGUUUACCGCAUUUUUUGCUUAAUCCUUAAUCUUGAUGACAAGGUAGAGCAUCUCAGAAAAAAUCGUGUGGAUGUUUUCUGAACAUUUUGGAUAUUUAUUCUACACUAAAUAGAUCAGGUGAUAAUAAUGGUAUUAAUAGUUGCUCUGGUGUUGGAUUUUCUGGUUCUGCAUAAAGGAACAAAGAAAAUAUAUUUAAGGUGCAACUUGCACCAUGUUUAAACAAUAUGUGCUUUUAAAUUAUUUCCACGUUGAUAUUUUUAUAUAAAAUAAUGAGACUAUGAUCAGGGUGAUUUUACUGAAUAUUUCUUUUAUAUUAUUGUUGCUAGCAGGGUAUAUACAGGAAUCUUGAAGUAAAAUUCAAUACCUUUUUAAGACCUUUUCAAGACUUUUUCAACACUCCCGACUAUGUUUUGGACGAUUAACAUUGCGGGUCCGGCGGGGUGGGAGAUUACGGUAUUUUUUGGAGCUUUUAAGAGUGAAAUAGGCGCACGGAAGAUCGCUGCACCUAACGUUACAGAAACGAAUCACACAGUCGCUACUCUGCCUGUCUAGUAUUUUUGGCUAUGCAUUAUAAAUAGUACGUUCAUCUACACUUUUAGCAAACAAACUUUUGGACAAACAGGAUUUUCACAUUGAAAAAAAUAUCUUCAAAUUUUAAUACCUUGUUAAAUGGCGAUUAAGACUUUUUAAUACUUUUUAAUGGCCUUAAUUUUCGUAAAAUUGAUUGAGAUAACUGGAUUGUAACGUUACUUGCACUUUACUGCACAUGUCACAUUCACCCCAUCCAUACACUGAUGGCAGAGGCUACCAUGCAAGGUGCCAACUGCACAUCAGACAGAAAUUAAUACAUUCACAUACAUUCAUACAUUGCACAGCCUUCAGGAGCAAUUUUAGGGUUCAGUAUCUUUCCCAUGGUCACCGCGGCACACAGACUGGAGGAGCCGGGGUUCGAACCACUGACCUUCUGAUCAGUGGACAUGCUGCUUUUCUGUUCAAAUAAAUAAAAGAGCUGUCACUCAGCACAAGAGGUAAACAGUAACUCCUUUCACUCAUUCUACAUUCCACCCUUUACGCAUUUGUGUUGAAAUAAGUGCACUCCAGUUUUAUGCUAUAAAGUAAAAGAUUUCCCUGAAAAAUAUCCAGAUGAUGUGCAGCAAUGUGCAGUGUCAUCCAGAAUCUGUCACUCGUCCUGGUCAUGAUCUUAUUUAUAUAUAAAAGUGGUAAUUAUCUGGAUAAAUCCCCACAUGCAGUAACAUGUAUUUCCAGUUAAAAAGUACAGUCUUUGUUCCCUAAAGAUCCUCUCAUCAAAACUGAAAAAUACUGUGGUACAGUGAAUGUACUGUAACUCUGCUGAAUAUACACCUGAGCACAAUCUGAGAGAGUUAUGUAGCGCAACACACCAGAGACUGUACAGGGGAAAGUAAAUAUGCUGUGCAGAUGUUUAUUUCAUCUUGCUGUAUUUCAGGGUCACAGCUAACCAAUGCAAUGUACGAGACUUAAACUAUACAUCAAAAUACACGUGUAUAAGUACAAACAGUAAGAUUUCAAGACUGUAUUAAAAUAUUGGAGGAUAUUA
Long non-coding RNA from Micropterus dolomieu (smallmouth bass), 1861 nucleotides. RefSeq lists it as uncharacterized. The record is from RefSeq and is a predicted model, not a curated record. The transcript is spliced from 2 exons. NCBI's taxonomy places the organism in Eukaryota, Metazoa, Chordata, Actinopteri, Centrarchiformes, Centrarchidae.